Molecule: transfer RNA, 73 nt
Filed under: Nanobdellota archaeon
Lineage: Archaea; Nanobdellati; Nanobdellota
Description: tRNA-Thr
Rfam family: tRNA
About the family: Transfer RNA (tRNA) molecules are approximately 80 nucleotides in length. Their secondary structure includes four short double-helical elements and three loops (D, anti-codon, and T loops). Further hydrogen bonds mediate the characteristic L-shaped molecular structure. tRNAs have two regions of fundamental functional importance: the anti-codon, which is responsible for specific mRNA codon recognition, and the 3' end, to which the tRNAs corresponding amino acid is attached (by aminoacyl-tRNA synthetases). tRNAs cope with the degeneracy of the genetic code in two manners: having more than one tRNA (with a specific anti-codon) for a particular amino acid; and 'wobble' base-pairing, i.e. permitting non-standard base-pairing at the 3rd anti-codon position.
Source: RNAcentral
GCCUCCGUAGCUCAAUUGGUAGAGCAUCUGACUUGUAAUCAGAAGGUUCUGGGUUCGAUUCCCAGCGGGGGCU